This 329-nucleotide long non-coding RNA is filed under the name Equus caballus (horse). RNAcentral's name for it is "lncRNA (ENSECAG00000056594.1)". The record is from RNAcentral. Lineage: Eukaryota; Metazoa; Chordata; Mammalia; Perissodactyla; Equidae.
GUGGAACUAGGGCACAGAAAGUUUGCAGUGGGCAUGGAAGAAAAAAACACAUGAAAGACUCUGAAAAAGCAAGGACAGGGAGUAACAGAGACACAUUACAGGAUAGGCAUCAACAAUGGAAAUGAGCAGAACUCGGCUUUGCACAGAGCUCUUGAGACAUCAACAAAUUGACAAAAACAAGGAUCUCAUCCAUAAGACCACGCUACAUUUGGUCAUCACAUCUCCUCAGACUUCUCUACCCUGGAACAAUUCUCAGACUUUCCUUGUUUGUAAUGGCCUUGGCAGUUGUGAGGAGUACUGGUCAGAAAAUCCAGAGUCCUCAGUCUUUG